Molecule: small nuclear RNA, 100 nt
Filed under: Sciurus vulgaris (Eurasian red squirrel)
Lineage: Eukaryota; Metazoa; Chordata; Mammalia; Rodentia; Sciuridae
Source: RNAcentral
GUGCUCGCUUUGGCAGCACAUAUACUAAAAUUGGAAUGAUACAGAGAAGAUUAGCUUGGCCCCUGCGCUACUUAACAUCUUAUAGGUGCAUUUCCUACUA